AGAGGUCUAGCCUGCCCAGUGACUUUAAGUUAAACGGCCGCGGUACCCUAACCGUGCGAAGGUAGCACAAUCACUUGUUCUUUAAAUUAGGACCAGUAUGAAUGGCCUCACGAGAGCUAUACUGUCUCCCCCCUUCAAUCAAUGAAACUGAUCUCCUCGUGAAGAAGCGAGGAUAACUAUAUAAGACGAGAAGACCCCAUGGAGCUUUAAACUUACACCACUGCUUUAAGAUACACCAAAUAACUUAAGCAAGUAUGGCUACAAGUCUUUCGGCUGGGGCGACCACGGAGAAAAACUAAACCUCCAUGAUGAAAAGAGUAAUCCUAAUCAAAGAGCUACUGCUCCAAGAAUCAACAAAUUGACAUAAUUGACCCAAACAUUUUGAUCAACGAACCAAGUUACCCUGGGGAUAACAGCGCAAUCCAUUUCAAGAGACCCCAUCGACAAAUGGGCUUACGACCUCGAUGUUGGAUCAGGGUAUCCCAGUGGUGUAGCCGCUACUAAAGGUUCGUUUGUUCAACGAUUAAAACCCUACGUGAUCUGAGUUCACACCGGAGUGAACGC
RNAcentral lists this ribosomal RNA (564 nucleotides) under Platypelis grandis (Boulenger's giant treefrog). Its description in RNAcentral is "partial 16S ribosomal RNA". It matches the Rfam family "Bacterial large subunit ribosomal RNA", at positions 1848 to 2627 of the family's 2925-position model. The record is from RNAcentral. Lineage: Eukaryota; Metazoa; Chordata; Amphibia; Anura; Microhylidae.